UACGAAGGGGGCUAGCGUUAUUCGGAAUUAUUGGGCGUAAAGGGCGCGUAGGCGGCCUGGCAAGUGGAUGGUGAAAUCCCUCGGCUUAACCGAGGAACUGCCAUCCAGACUGCUUGGCUUGAGACCGGGAGAGGUGAGUGGAAUUCCCAGUGUAGCGGUGAAAUGCGUAGAUAUUGGGAGGAACACCAGUGGCGAAGGCGGCUCACUGGACCGGUACUGACGCUGAGGCGCGAAAGCGUGGGGAGCAAACGGG
This 253-nucleotide ribosomal RNA is filed under the name uncultured bacterium. RNAcentral describes it as "partial 16S ribosomal RNA". It matches the Rfam family "Bacterial small subunit ribosomal RNA", at positions 524 to 776 of the family's 1533-position model. The record is from RNAcentral.